RNAcentral lists this unclassified non-coding RNA (477 nucleotides) under Rhodomela confervoides. RNAcentral's name for it is "sequence contains 5.8S rRNA gene, ITS2 and 28S rRNA gene". Lineage: Eukaryota; Rhodophyta; Florideophyceae; Ceramiales; Rhodomelaceae. The record is from RNAcentral.
CCGUUUAUGCUAUUAUUAAACGCAAGUUAAUUUUGGGGUUCCAGUGGGAAUUCGCGACCUUGAUCUCUUGGGAUUUAUUCUAGGAUCGAACAGGAAGUGUUUUCUCACGCCGGAAUGCCAGCUGUUGGGUGUUUGUCCUCGCGGAUGUCAGUCGUCGUCAAAGUUAGAAACCUACUUGUAGUGCUUCUUUCAUUGCUCGGUGCAAUCUGUGUGGUCACCUGAAAUUUUUAGCCUCGUUUCUUUGUCAUAAGUAUAUUCUUAAUUAUAAACGUUAAAGACCCCCUCGGUCGAUGCGAUCUAGUACCCUUUGUUGGAAAAGAUUGAGUCCUUCUUUGAGGUUGAUUCUCUUUUCUAACGCCUAAUGGGUAUUGUUUUCUGCGUCCUGGGGAUUGUAUGGGUUUUUUGUGCGGGGAAUAGAACGAUAGAGCGACGUUUAGGACGACGGAUUUCUUUCUUCGGAAAGGGAAAAAACCGGCC